AUGGUGUCCCUGUGCCAGCUCAGACUGUCCCUGUGCCACUCUGUGGUGUCCCUGUGCCAUCUCAGAUUGUCCCCGUGCCCCUGGGCUGUGUCCCUGUGCCACCCUAUGGUGUCCCUGUGCCAGCUCAGAUUGUCCCUGUGCCCCUGGGCCGUGUCCCUGUGCCACUCUGUGGUGUCCCUGUGCCAUCUCAGAUUGUCCCCGUGCCCCUGGGCUGUGUCCCUGUGCCACCCUAUGGUGUCCCUGUGCCAGCUCAGAUUGUCCCUGUGCCCCUGGGCCGUGUCCCUGUGCCACUCUGUGGUGUCCCUGUGCCAUCUCAGAUUGUCCCCGUGCCCCUGGGCUGUGUCCCUGUGCCACCCUAUGGUGUCCCUGUGCCAGCUCAGAUUGUCCCUGUGCCCCUGGGCCGUGUCCCUGUGCCACUCUGUGGUGUCCCUGUGCCAUCUCAGAUUGUCCCCGUGCCCCUGGGCUGUGUCCCUGUGCCACCCUAUGGUGUCCCUGUGCCAGCUCAGAUUGUCCCUGUGCCCCUGGGCCGUGUCCCUGUGCCACUCUGUGGUGUCCCUGUGCCAUCUCAGAUUGUCCCCGUGCCCCUGGGCUGUGUCCCUGUGCCACCCUAUGGUGUCCCUGUGCCAGCUCAGAUUGUCCCUGUGCCCCUGGGCCGUGUCCCUGUGCCACUCUGUGGUGUCCCUGUGCCAUCUCAGAUUGUCCCCGUGCCCCUGGGCUGUGUCCCUGUGCCACCCUAUGGUGUCCCUGUGCCAGCUCAGAUUGUCCCUGUGCCCCUGGGCCGUGUCCCUGUGCCACUCUGUGGUGUCCCUGUGCCACUUUAUGGUGUCCCUGUCACACCAGGGUGUCCCUGUGCCCCUGGGCUGUGUCCCCGUGCCACUCUAUGAUGUCCCCGUGCCAGCUCAGACUGUCCCCGUGCCCCUGGGCCGUGUCCCCGUGCCACCCUGGGCUGUCCUGGUGCCACCCCUGCCCCCGGUGACCGCUCUGUCCCCCCCGUCCCCCUCACAGCCCGGGGUCUCUCCCAGUGCUCCCAGUUUGGCUCUCUCUCCCCAGGGCCCCUGUACUGGGAACCAGCAGAGCCUGGCCCACAGCCCGGGGUCUCUCCCAGUGCUCCCAGUUUGGCUCUCUCUCCCCAGGGCCCCUGUACUGGGAACCAGCAGAGCCUGGCCCACAGCCCGGGGUCUCUCCCAGUGCUCCCAGUUUGGCUCUCUCUCCCCAGGGCCCCUGUACUGGGAACCAGCAGAGCCUGGCCCACAGCCCGGGGUCUCUCCCAGUGCUCCCAGUUUGGCUCUCUCUCCCCAGGGCCCCUGUACUGGGAACCAGCAGAGCCUGGCCCACAGCCCGGGGUCUCUCCCAGUGCUCCCAGUUUGGCUCUCUCUCCCCAGGGCCCCUGUACUGGGAACCAGCAGAGCCUGGCCCACAGCCCGGGGUCUCUCCCAGUGCUCCCAGUUUGGCUCUCUCUCCCCAGGGCCCCUGUACUGGGAACCAGCAGAGCCUGGCCCACAGCCCGGGGUCUCUCCCAGUGCUCCCAGUUUGGCUCUCUCUCCCCAGGGCCCCUGUACUGGGAACCAGCAGAGCCUGGCCCACAGCCCGGGGUCUCUCCCAGUGCUCCCAGUUUGGCUCUCUCUCCCCAGGGCCCCUGUACUGGGAACCAGCAGAGCCUGGCCCACAGCCCGGGGUCUCUCCCAGUGCUCCCAGUUUGGCUCUCUCUCCCCAGGGCCCCUGUACUGGGAACCAGCAGAGCCUGGCCCACAGCCCGGGGUCUCUCCCAGUGCUCCCAGUUUGGCUCUCUCUCCCCAGGGCCCCUGUACUGGGAACCAGCAGAGCCUGGCCCACAGCCCGGGGUCUCUCCCAGUGCUCCCAGUUUGGCUCUCUCUCCCCAGGGCCCCUGUACUGGGAACCAGCAGAGCCUGGCCCACAGCCCGGGGUCUCUCCCAGUGCUCCCAGUUUGGCUCUCUCUCCCCAGGGCCCCUGUACUGGGAACCAGCAGAGCCUGGCCCACAGCCCGGGGUCUCUCCCAGUGCUCCCAGUUUGGCUCUCUCUCCCCAGGGCCCCUGUACUGGGAACCAGCAGAGCCUGGCCCACAGCCCGGGGUCUCUCCCAGUGCUCCCAGUUUGGCUCUCUCUCCCCAGGGCCCCUGUACUGGGAACCAGCAGAGCCUGGCCCACAGCCCGGGGUCUCUCCCAGUGCUCCCAGUUUGGCUCUCUCUCCCCAGGGCCCCUGUACUGGGAACCAGCAGAGCCUGGCCCACAGCCCGGGGUCUCUCCCAGUGCUCCCAGUUUGGCUCUCUCUCCCCAGGGCCCCUGUACUGGGAACCAGCAGAGCCUGGCCCACAGCCCGGGGUCUCUCCCAGUGCUCCCAGUUUGGCUCUCUCUCCCCAGGGCCCCUGUACUGGGAACCAGCAGAGCCUGGCCCACAGCCCGGGGUCUCUCCCAGUGCUCCCAGUUUGGCUCUCUCUCCCCAGGGCCCCUGUACUGGGAACCAGCAGAGCCUGGCCCACAGCCCGGGGUCUCUCCCAGUGCUCCCAGUUUGGCUCUCUCUCCCCAGGGCCCCUGUACUGGGAACCAGCAGAGCCUGGCCCACAGCCCGGGGUCUCUCCCAGUGCUCCCAGUUUGGCUCUCUCUCCCCAGGGCCCCUGUACUGGGAACCAGCAGAGCCUGGCCCACAGCCCGGGGUCUCUCCCAGUGCUCCCAGUUUGGCUCUCUCUCCCCAGGGCCCCUGUACUGGGAACCAGCAGAGCCUGGCCCACAGCCCGGGGUCUCUCCCAGUGCUCCCAGUUUGGCUCUCUCUCCCCAGGGCCCCUGUACUGGGAACCAGCAGAGCCUGGCCCACAGCCCGGGGUCUCUCCCAGUGCUCCCAGUUUGGCUCUCUCUCCCCAGGGCCCCUGUACUGGGAACCAGCAGAGCCUGGCCCACAGCCCGGGGUCUCUCCCAGUGCUCCCAGUUUGGCUCUCUCUCCCCAGGGCCCCUGUACUGGGAACCAGCAGAGCCUGGCCCACAGCCCGGGGUCUCUCCCAGUGCUCCCAGUUUGGCUCUCUCUCCCCAGGGCCCCUGUACUGGGAACCAGCAGAGCCUGGCCCACAGCCCGGGGUCUCUCCCAGUGCUCCCAGUUUGGCUCUCUCUCCCCAGGGCCCCUGUACUGGGAACCAGCAGAGCCUGGCCCACAGCCCGGGGUCUCUCCCAGUGCUCCCAGUUUGGCUCUCUCUCCCCAGGGCCCCUGUACUGGGAACCAGCAGAGCCUGGCCCACAGCCCGGGGUCUCUCCCAGUGCUCCCAGUUUGGCUCUCUCUCCCCAGGGCCCCUGUACUGGGAACCAGCAGAGCCUGGCCCACAGCCCGGGGUCUCUCCCAGUGCUCCCAGUUUGGCUCUCUCUCCCCAGGGCCCCUGUACUGGGAACCAGCAGAGCCUGGCCCACAGCCCGGGGUCUCUCCCAGUGCUCCCAGUUUGGCUCUCUCUCCCCAGGGCCCCUGUACUGGGAACCAGCAGAGCCUGGCCCACAGCCCGGGGUCUCUCCCAGUGCUCCCAGUUUGGCUCUCUCUCCCCAGGGCCCCUGUACUGGGAACCAGCAGAGCCUGGCCCACAGCCCGGGGUCUCUCCCAGUGCUCCCAGUUUGGCUCUCUCUCCCCAGGGCCCCUGUACUGGGAACCAGCAGAGCCUGGCCCACAGCCCGGGGUCUCUCCCAGUGCUCCCAGUUUGGCUCUCUCUCCCCAGGGCCCCUGUACUGGGAACCAGCAGAGCCUGGCCCACAGCCCGGGGUCUCUCCCAGUGCUCCCAGUUUGGCUCUCUCUCCCCAGGGCCCCUGUACUGGGAACCAGCAGAGCCUGGCCCACAGCCCGGGGUCUCUCCCAGUGCUCCCAGUUUGGCUCUCUCUCCCCAGGGCCCCUGUACUGGGAACCAGCAGAGCCUGGCCCACAGCCCGGGGUCUCUCCCAGUGCUCCCAGUUUGGCUCUCUCUCCCCAGGGCCCCUGUACUGGGAACCAGCAGAGCCUGGCCCACAGCCCGGGGUCUCUCCCAGUGCUCCCAGUUUGGCUCUCUCUCCCCAGGGCCCCUGUACUGGGAACCAGCAGAGCCUGGCCCACAGCCUGGGGUCUCUCCCAGUGCUCCCAGUUCGGCUCUCUCUCCCCAGGGCCCCUGUACUGGGAACCAGCAGAGCCUGGCCCACAGCCCGGGGUCUCUCCCAGUGCUCCCAGUUUGGCUCUCUCUCCCCAGGGCCCCUGUACUGGGAACCAGCAGAGCCUGGCCCACAGCCCGGGGUCUCUCCCAGUGCUCCCAGUUUGGCUCUCUCUCCCCAGGGCCCCUGUACUGGGAACCAGCAGAGCCUGGCCCACAGCCCGGGGUCUCUCCCAGUGCUCCCAGUUUGGCUCUCUCUCCCCAGGGCCCCUGUACUGGGAACCAGCAGAGCCUGGCCCACAGCCCGGGGUCUCUCCCAGUGCUCCCAGUUUGGCUCUCUCUCCCCAGGGCCCCUGUACUGGGAACCAGCAGAGCCUGGCCCACAGCCCGGGGUCUCUCCCAGUGCUCCCAGUUUGGCUCUCUCUCCCCAGGGCCCCUGUACUGGGAACCAGCAGAGCCUGGCCCACAGCCCGGGGUCUCUCCCAGUGCUCCCAGUUUGGCUCUCUCUCCCCAGGGCCCCUGUACUGGGAACCAGCAGAGCCUGGCCCACAGCCCGGGGUCUCUCCCAGUGCUCCCAGUUUGGCUCUCUCUCCCCAGGGCCCCUGUACUGGGAACCAGCAGAGCCUGGCCCACAGCCCGGGGUCUCUCCCAGUGCUCCCAGUUUGGCUCUCUCUCCCCAGGGCCCCUGUACUGGGAACCAGCAGAGCCUGGCCCACAGCCCGGGGUCUCUCCCAGUGCUCCCAGUUUGGCUCUCUCUCCCCAGGGCCCCUGUACUGGGAACCAGCAGAGCCUGGCCCACAGCCGCCUCUGGGACGCCGUGGUCGGGUUCCUGCACGUGUUCGCUCACAUGA
This 4956-nucleotide long non-coding RNA is filed under the name Ficedula albicollis (Collared flycatcher). Its description in RNAcentral is "lncRNA (ENSFALG00000024347.1)". Lineage: Eukaryota; Metazoa; Chordata; Aves; Passeriformes; Muscicapidae. The record is from RNAcentral.